CAAAAAAUAAAAAAAUAAAUAAUCCUCAUUAAAUAAUAGUGAAAACUGAAACUGCACAAAGAGAAGUGGAUUGUUUUAUAAGAGGUGCUUGUUAGAGCAACUGGCAACACCUGAUGGCUCACAGGGUUGCCAGGUUAUUAAAGUCCAGGCUGCAGCAGCAGCAGUCAGAGGAGAGAGAAAGAGAGAGAAACUGCUGCUGCUGGCAGCUCUCUGCUCCUCCCCACAGGCACCCUGUUCUGGUUUGGUUAUGUUUUUAGUUUCUUUACUACACUUUACAACAUGCACACACAUCUUAAACUCAUCUACUGACAUCUACACCCCAUACUGUAAAUAUCUAGUUACUUUAAUUUGAUUUAAUUUUGCUUAAUUUGUUUAAUGAAUGUAUGCUUUGUUACCUCUGUAUCAUGGUGUGUCUCCCUCUAGUUGUGGCCACAUGAGCCAGGUUAUAACAAACGGGGGCUCGUCCAUUAGGUGUUGUGGUGACGUGGUCAGUAUCAGUUAUUUUUGGACAACUGUCUCAGGGACACAUCCAUGUGAUUUUUGUGGAGUUGCCUGCUUGCAGGUCGCUUUACAAGCCCGCUGGUCUAAAGUGCAUGAAAACCCACCAGACAUGAAGACUAGGGGGAGAAAGACAGACAUAGAACACCAACAUACCAAAACAAAAUGGGAAAACUGGAGCAGAGAGACUGAGAGAAUAGAGACAAAGGUUGAGGGAUGAUCCAGUGAAAUACCAAGAAUACUUAAGAAACAAAAAAAACGAAGAAAGAAGGAAAGUUGAAGAGUAUCAGUGAAUUAUCUGUCAGGCAGCAAAGACACAUCAGAAAAUAAUGGAGGAAAAGAGCAAAAACACAGGAUGAUGGUGAAAAGAUAGAAAGAGGUGGAGAUAUUUUGCAGGGCUUCUGCACCACCUGGCACUUCAAUGAGGCUGAUCAGACACCAGUGCACAUAACCACUGGGGGGGAGAAAAAAAGGAUAAAAAGAGUAAAAAUCAGUAACUAUAGAAAAUUACAGAAGUUGGAACACAAGAUCAAAGAAAUGCAGAGGAGGGAAGAAAAAUAUAGAAAGUAGUGUCAAAGAUCAAGGCUGAAGCCAACAUCAGACCAGUCAAAGUGUUCUUUAAGAUCAAAGACUGAGAUGGAUGUACAGAAGCACAGACUCCCUCACCAUGUCAGACAGACACUUCUUCUUCACACCACACUUAUGCACCAAAUAAAGGGAAAAAUACAAGUCUGCAAGCUAUAAAGAGAAACGUUAUUCAGAGGAGCACUCACAACUUGUCUUUAUAAUAAGAAAAUGUGUUGAUGUCUCCCACAAAGUGUUCAACAAGACUGAAAGCCACCCAUGUCUCAGGUUCGCAUAUCAGAGAAAUCAUAAGCAAAAAAACAUGGACAUAAUCAAAAAUGUUCUAAGUCGGGAUGACAAUAUUCAGCAGGGAAGAAGGAAACAAUCACAAUAAACAAAAGAGGUUUCUGUCCGACACGAUGCUGAAAUUGUAUCAGAAACUGAUGCUGGAGAUGCCUCAUCUGAAGCUAUCCUAUUCGCUUUUCUGUAGGAUGAAGUCAUUUUGGAUUGUUGCUCCAAACAUCAAUAAUAAGGAGACGUGCUC
Long non-coding RNA from Thunnus maccoyii (southern bluefin tuna), 1606 nucleotides. RefSeq lists it as uncharacterized. The transcript is spliced from 4 exons. The record is from RefSeq and is a predicted model, not a curated record. NCBI's taxonomy places the organism in Eukaryota, Metazoa, Chordata, Actinopteri, Scombriformes, Scombridae.